Molecule: ribosomal RNA, 433 nt
Filed under: uncultured bacterium
Lineage: Bacteria
Description: partial 16S ribosomal RNA
Rfam family: Bacterial small subunit ribosomal RNA
Source: RNAcentral
AACGAACGCUGGCGGCAUGCCUAACACAUGCAAGUCGAACGAGACCUUCGGGUCUAGUGGCGCACGGGUGCGUAACGCGUGGGAACCUGCCCUUAGGUUCGGAAUAACUCCCCGACAGGGGUGCUAAUACCGGAUAAUGUCUUCGGACCAAAGAUUUAUCGCCUUUGGAUGGGCCCGCGUUGGAUUAGCUAGUUGGUAGGGUAAAAGCCUACCAAGGCGACGAUACAUAGCUGGUCUGAGAGGAUGAUCAGCCACACUGGGACUGAGACACGGCCCAGACUCCUACGGGAGGCAGCAGUGGGGAAUAUUGGACAAUGGGCGAAAGCCUGAUCCAGCAAUGCCGCGUGAGUGAUGAAGGCCUUAGGGUUGUAAAGCUCUUUUACCCGGGAUGAUAAUGACAGUACCGGGAGAAUAAGCUCCGGCUAACUCCGUG